GAUGAACGCUGGCGGCGUGCCUAAUACAUGCAAGUCGAGCGAACAGACGAGGAGCUUGCUCCUCUGACGUUAGCGGCGGACGGGUGAGUAACACGUGGAUAACCUACCUAUAAGACUGGGAUAACUUCGGGAAACCGGAGCUAAUACCGGAUAAUAUAUUGAACCACAUGGUUCAAUAGUGAAAGACGGUUUUGCUGUCACUUAUAGAUGGAUCCGCGCCGCAUUAGCUAGUUGGUAAGGUAACGGCUUACCAAGGCAACGAUGCGUAGCCGACCUGAGAGGGUGAUCGGCCACACUGGAACUGAGACACGGUCCAGACUCCUACGGGAGGCAGCAGUAGGGAAUCUUCCGCAAUGGGCGAAAGGCUGACGGAGCAACGCCGCGUGAGUGAUGAAGGUCUUCGGAUCGUAAAACUCUGUUAUUAGGGAAGAACAAAUGUGUAAGUAACUAUGCACGUCUUGACGGUACCUAAUCAGAAAGCCACGGCUAACUACGUG
Molecule: ribosomal RNA, 497 nt
Filed under: uncultured bacterium
Lineage: Bacteria
Description: partial 16S ribosomal RNA
Rfam family: Bacterial small subunit ribosomal RNA
Source: RNAcentral